GGGUAAAAAUUCGCGGCUCGUCCUUUUUCGGGUUAAAAAAUGGUUUUCGACUCGUAGCGAGGAAUUCAAUAUUGCUCGAUCAAUUGCUAAACCGAUUUCUUCCUGUUGAUUGAAUGCGACAGUGGAAAACGCGUAACCACGUCGCAAUAAAACCGCAGGUCUGUCGAUGCGCUGCAGCAGCACGCGGAGAAGAAGGUAGGUUAUCUCGGUUGUCUCACCGCUGGUUUGACCGCAGAUGAUGCUUUUUUCCGUGUUUCACCUGAAUUUAUUUGAUUAACACAAACGAAAACUUUUCUGAUGCUUCAUAAAGAAUUUCUUAGCAUUUUGCGAAUGUUCGUUGUAAAUGUAUGACUAAUAGAAGUUAUGCUCUCUGCUUUAGGUAUACGGACCACCGCCGUGGGUGCAUAUGAAACGACGGAGGGUAUUCCGGAUAAGCUGUAUAGUGUAAAAAACAUCUGAAUCAUUUCAGUUCAGUAAGUAUAUGACGGCAUUUUGUUGAGUUAAUUUAAAUAAAGCAUAUUAAAA
Long non-coding RNA from Anopheles aquasalis, 525 nucleotides. RefSeq lists it as uncharacterized. The record is from RefSeq and is a predicted model, not a curated record. NCBI's taxonomy places the organism in Eukaryota, Metazoa, Arthropoda, Insecta, Diptera, Culicidae.